GACGAACGCUGGCGGCGUGCUUAACACAUGCAAGUCGAACGGAAAGGCCCUGCUUUUGUGGGGUGCCCGAGUGGCGAACGGGUGAGUAACACGUGAGUAACCUGCCCUUGACUUUGGGAUAACUUCAGGAAACUGGGGCUAAUACCGGAUAGGAGCUCCUGCUGCAUGGUGGGGGUUGGAAAGUUUCGGCGGUUGGGGAUGGACUCGCGGCUUAUCAGCUUGUUGGUGGGGUAGUGGCUUACCAAGGCUUUGACGGGUAGCCGGCCUGAGAGGGUGACCGGCGACAUUGGGACUGAGAGAGGGACCAGACUGCUACGGGAGGCAGUAGUGGGGAAUAUUGCACAAUGGGCGGAAGCCUGAUGCAGCAACGCCGCGUGCGGGAUGACGGCCUUCGGGUUGUAAACCGAUGUCGCCUGUGACGAAGCGGGAGUGACGGUAAUGGGUAAAGAAGCACCGGCUAACUACGUG
Molecule: ribosomal RNA, 468 nt
Filed under: uncultured bacterium
Lineage: Bacteria
Description: partial 16S ribosomal RNA
Rfam family: Bacterial small subunit ribosomal RNA
Source: RNAcentral